This is a transfer RNA of 74 nucleotides. It matches the Rfam family "tRNA". Rfam says of the family: Transfer RNA (tRNA) molecules are approximately 80 nucleotides in length. Their secondary structure includes four short double-helical elements and three loops (D, anti-codon, and T loops). Further hydrogen bonds mediate the characteristic L-shaped molecular structure. tRNAs have two regions of fundamental functional importance: the anti-codon, which is responsible for specific mRNA codon recognition, and the 3' end, to which the tRNAs corresponding amino acid is attached (by aminoacyl-tRNA synthetases). tRNAs cope with the degeneracy of the genetic code in two manners: having more than one tRNA (with a specific anti-codon) for a particular amino acid; and 'wobble' base-pairing, i.e. permitting non-standard base-pairing at the 3rd anti-codon position.
GGCGAGGUAGCUCAACGGUAAGAGCACCGGCGCGUGAGCAGAGGCAGACGCGGGUUCGACUCCCGCCCACGCCG